RNAcentral lists this unclassified non-coding RNA (329 nucleotides) under soil metagenome. Its description in RNAcentral is "partial contains 5.8S ribosomal RNA, internal transcribed spacer 2, and large subunit ribosomal RNA". The stretch from base 1 to 120 matches the Rfam family "5.8S ribosomal RNA", at positions 35 to 154 of the family's 154-position model. The record is from RNAcentral.
GAUGAAGAACGUAGCGAAAUGCGAUAAGUAGUGUGAAUUGCAGAAUUCAGUGAAUCAUCGAAUCUUUGAACGCACAUUGCGCCCCUUGGUAUCCCGAGGGGCAUGCCUGUUCGAGCGUCAUUUCACCACUCAAGCCUGGCUUGGUGUUGGGCGACGUCCCCUUUGGGGACGCGCCUCGAAACGCUCGGCGGCGUGGCACCGGCUUUAAGCGUAGCAGAAUCUUUCGCUUUGGAAGUCGGGGCCCCGUCUGCCGGAAGACCUACUCACAAGGUUGACCUCGGAUCAGGCAGGGAUACCCGCUGAACUUAAGCAUAUCAAUAAGCGGAGGA